UUCUACCUUUCCUCUUCUCCUCAGGGCUCCCACGGGCUGCAGACAGUCAUUAAAAGUGAAUGUUAGGACAACUAUCCCUGCCCUAGACAGGGAGCCCCAGGCCAGGCACUCUGUAUAAAUGACCUGAUUUAGGAUGCUCAGACUCAGAGAAUGAAGAAGAUACAGGCUUGACUCUCACUUCCAACAAGCAAUCACUCUGAACCAGACCUGACCAGCUCUAAAGACAAGCUACCCUCAACUCGUCCAGAAGGGAUCUGAAGCUGCCCUUCAAAGACUCAAACAAGCACUUGAUCUGCCAUCAAAGCAUGUACCUGGCCUUCCUCAGAACCAUCAGCAUUUUGUAUUGCUGGUUUCUCCAACUAAAAGCCCAUAGAGAGCUUUCAUUGUUGUUUGGUUUACCUGCCCGGAUCCUUACCUCCCUCUAGAUUCCAGUCCCUCUUCCAUGCCUUCUCUUUUGGCAGCUCCUGCCUGAAUCAGCUACGCCACGGAUUCACUGAGCUCCAUUUUUUCAGGCCUCAUGUGUCUUCGCUCAGUGUUUCUAACCAGCUCCUUCCUUUUCGCCUUGGGGAAGGAUGUUCCGACAAGGGAAGGAUCAUAUGAAAAGAUCUCUCAGGUGUGUGAGAGAGAUAAAGGUAGAAGGAGACCACGUGGGGGAAAGAAGAUUAAAGAGAAGGAAUCAGAAAUGAAGAUAAUGAAAGAUGCAAAAUAUUACGUUUUCUCUCAUAGUGAGAAUGCACCAAGGGAUCUGAAGAGAAAACCAGCAAACAAACAAACCAAAACAAAUGGCCAGCAAAGACAUGGAAGAUACUUAACAUCUCUAGUGAGGAAAGAAGAAUUAAAUCCCAGAGAGAGAACCCUUCCCACUGCUGCAAUGGCUUGUAUCUGUAGGAUGUCAUACAAGUGAGGGCGGGUACAGGAUAGAGCGAGGCCUGUCAUUGGAUGAGAAGGAAGGAUGGGCAGGAGAAAAGUUUGAGGGAAGAGGAAGAAACUGGAAUGGAAGAGAUGGGAAGGAAGCCACAGAGAGAACAUGGAGGCUGACGUUAAGAUUCCACUCUGUGUAUUUACAGGUGGUUAGGAAUAUUCUUAAGGGAUGGAUGUGUAUAGGGCUUUGUAUGUUUAGGUGGGCAAUUAUAUCUUAUCAAUUGGGUC
Molecule: long non-coding RNA, 1149 nt
Organism: Rattus norvegicus (Norway rat)
Lineage: Eukaryota; Metazoa; Chordata; Mammalia; Rodentia; Muridae
Source: Ensembl